Aedes aegypti (yellow fever mosquito) is the source of this 300-nucleotide long non-coding RNA. RefSeq lists it as uncharacterized. The record is from RefSeq and is a predicted model, not a curated record. The transcript has 2 exons. NCBI's taxonomy places the organism in Eukaryota, Metazoa, Arthropoda, Insecta, Diptera, Culicidae.
CAAAGAUCAGCUGUUCCCAGCAAAAUCAAAUGGCAGUAUUUUCAACCAGCAAAUUUGCGCAUGUGUUCGUGACACCGCUCGGCGAGAGCUCAAUGGCGUCCAGGUCGUGGUACACGUUGGGUUGUUUUUCUUUGCGGAUUUUGAUGUGUCUACUUCCGUACGGAUUGAUUGCAAAUUUGGACGAAAUCCCGAUCAGCUUUAUCUUCCAUGUUCGCUCGGAAAGCAAGGGAAUCUUGUUCGGAUGCCUACACUGAGAAAAAUCUACACGUCAAGGUCGUGUGUUUUACUUAUAGAUUUGCG